GAUCAUGGCUCAGAUUGAACGCUGGCGGUAUGCUUAACACAUGCAAGUCGAACGGUAGCAGGGCCUUCGGGCGCUGACGAGUGGCGGACGGGUGAGUAAUGCAUAGGAAUCUGCCUAUUAGUGGGGGAUAACGUGGGGAAACUCACGCUAAUACCGCAUACGCCCUACGGGGGAAAGCUGGGGAUCUUCGGACCUGGCGCUAAUAGAUGAGCCUAUGUUGGAUUAGCUAGUUGGUAGGGUAAAGGCCUACCAAGGCGACGAUCUGUAGCGGGUCUUAGAGGACGAUCCGCCACACUGGAACUGAGACACGGUCCAGACUCCUACGGGAGGCAGCAGUGGGGAAUCUUGGACAAUGGGCGAAAGCCUGAUCCAGCAAUGCCGCGUGCGUGAAGAAGGCCUUCGGGUUGUAAAGCGCUUUUGUCUGGGAGGCAAAUCCUGGCCUCUAAUACAGGUCGGGGAUGAGAGUACCAGAAGAAUAAGGACCGGCUAACUACGUG
RNAcentral lists this ribosomal RNA (497 nucleotides) under uncultured bacterium. Its description in RNAcentral is "bacterial SSU rRNA". It matches the Rfam family "Bacterial small subunit ribosomal RNA", at positions 15 to 507 of the family's 1533-position model. The record is from RNAcentral.